UACGUAGGUGGCAAGCGUUGUCCGGAAUUAUUGGGCGUAAAGCGCGCGCAGGCGGUCCUUUAAGUCUGAUGUGAAAGCCCACGGCUCAACCGUGGAGGGUCAUUGGAAACUGGGGGACUUGAGUACAGAAGAGAAGAGUGGAAUUCCACGUGUAGCGGUGAAAUGCGUAGAGAUGUGGAGGAACACCAGUGGCGAAGGCGGAUCUCUGGGCCUGUCCUGACGCUCAGGCGCGAAAGCUAGGGGAGCAAACAGG
RNAcentral lists this ribosomal RNA (253 nucleotides) under uncultured bacterium. RNAcentral describes it as "partial 16S ribosomal RNA". It matches the Rfam family "Bacterial small subunit ribosomal RNA", at positions 524 to 776 of the family's 1533-position model. The record is from RNAcentral.